This 253-nucleotide ribosomal RNA is filed under the name uncultured bacterium. RNAcentral's name for it is "partial 16S ribosomal RNA". It matches the Rfam family "Bacterial small subunit ribosomal RNA", at positions 524 to 776 of the family's 1533-position model. The record is from RNAcentral.
UACGAAGGGUGCUAGCGUUGCUCGGAAUUACUGGGCGUAAAGCGCGCGUAGGCGGCUUUUCAAGUCAGAGGUGAAAUCCCUGGGCUCAACCCAGGAACUGCCUUUGAAACUGUAAAGCUAGAGUGUCGGAGGGGAUAGCGGAAUUCCUAAUGUAGAGGUGAAAUUCGUAGAUAUUAGGAGGAACACCGGUGGCGAAGGCGGCUAUCUGGACGACAACUGACGCUGAGGCGCGAAAGCACGGGGAUCAAACAGG